Molecule: ribosomal RNA, 509 nt
Filed under: uncultured bacterium
Lineage: Bacteria
Description: partial 16S ribosomal RNA
Rfam family: Bacterial small subunit ribosomal RNA (bases 20-332)
Source: RNAcentral
GACGAACGCUGGCGGCGUGCUUAACACAUGCAAGUCGAACGGAAAGGCCCUGCUUUUGUGGGGUGCUCGAGUGGCGAACGGGUGAGUAACACGUGAGUAACCUGCCCUUGACUUUGGGAUAACUUCAGGAAACUGGGGCUAAUACCGGAUAGGAGCUCCUGCUGCAUGGUGGGGGUUGGAAAGUUUCGGCGGUUGGGGAUGGACUCGCGGCUUAUCAGCUUGUUGGUGGGGUAGUGGCUUACCAAGGCUUUGACGGGUAGCCGGCCUGAGAGGGUGACCGGCCGGCGUGGGAGUGCGGGCAGCCGCCGACUGCGAGGGGGGGGAGAGGUGGGGACGAUGGAGCGGGGGGCGGAGGGAGGAGGAGGAGGGGACGGGGGCGGUGGGAAGGCUGUGCGAUUGGAUGCUGUGGUGGCGUGGUGCGAGGGGGGAGGGGAGGGAAGGGGUAAAGAAACACCGGCCAGCUAGGUGCCAGCAGGUGCGGGAAUCGUAGGACGAGCCCACGCUUCACC